RNAcentral lists this ribosomal RNA (116 nucleotides) under Pteropus alecto (black flying fox). Lineage: Eukaryota; Metazoa; Chordata; Mammalia; Chiroptera; Pteropodidae. The record is from RNAcentral. RNAcentral also lists the same sequence under 1 other name.
GUCUAUGGCCAUGCCACCCUGAACAAGCCCAAUGUCUGAUCUCGGAAGCUAAGCAGGGUCGGGCCUGGUUAGUACUUGGAUGGGAGACCACCUAGGAAGACCAGGUGCUGUAGGCA